AUACGGAAGGUCCAAGCGUUAAUCGGAAUUACUGGGCGUAAAGCGCGCGUAGGUGGUUUAUUAAGUUGGAUGUGAAAUCCCCGGGCUCAACCUGGGAACUGCAUCCAAAACUGAUUCACUAGAGUACGAUAGAGGGAGGUAGAAUUCACAGUGUAGCGGUGGAAUGCGUAGAUAUUGUGAAGAAUACCAAUGGCGAAGGCAGCCUCCUGGAUCUGUACUGACACUGAGGUGCGAAAGCGUGGGUAGCGACAGGAUUAGAUACCCUGGUAGUCCACGCCGUAAACGAUGUCAACUAGCUGUUGGAGAACUAUGUUCUUCAGUGGCGCAGCUAACGUAGUAAGUUGACCGCCUGGGGAGUACGGCCGCAAGGCUAAAAACUCAAAUGAAUUGACGGGGGACCCGCACAAGCGGUGGAGCAUGUGGUUUAAUUCGAUGCAACGCGAAAAAACCUUACCUAUACUUGACAUACUUGGAAUGCUUUGUAAUGAAGCAGUGCCUUCGGGAGCCAAGAUAC
This 514-nucleotide ribosomal RNA is filed under the name uncultured Pseudomonadota bacterium. RNAcentral's name for it is "bacterial SSU rRNA". It matches the Rfam family "Bacterial small subunit ribosomal RNA", at positions 523 to 1035 of the family's 1533-position model. Lineage: Bacteria; Pseudomonadati; Pseudomonadota. The record is from RNAcentral.